Arachis duranensis is the source of this 1851-nucleotide long non-coding RNA. RefSeq lists it as uncharacterized. The record is from RefSeq and is a predicted model, not a curated record. The transcript has 2 exons. NCBI's taxonomy places the organism in Eukaryota, Viridiplantae, Streptophyta, Magnoliopsida, Fabales, Fabaceae.
GGAACCAUGGCAGACACAUCUCCAGGAACUGUGUUUUUGUUGGCUGCAAUGUGCACUGCUUCCAACACCUUCUCAACUCUGGAGCCAUCAAUACCCUGAUUCAAGAUUUUUGAGAAAGAACAUUAGACUCACUUUAUGAAGGUAAAUGAGUGAGGGAAGUUGAUAAUACCUGGUAUCCAUGAGAAAGAUGCCCUCCAUGAGGAAGGUCAAGCGCCAUGAUUCGCUCAUGAGGUUUCAGCAAUGCGGUAUACACAUGAAAAUUUGCAGGUGAACCAGACAGAGGUUGCACAUUUACUGCAAAAUAGGGGUAAGAGACACAUAAGCUACAUUUCCUUCUCUGUUAUUUUUUCUUUUUUUGAUUCUUUUCCCCCUUCCUUUGGGAAUUAAAACAACAUAUUGAACACAGAAAUAUUCAUUGGAGAAAGUGUGAGAUGUGAAAGCAAAGUCCUAUGAAGCCAAAACAGGGAAAUUUGUCCAUAUACAAUGAAAAACAAAUCAGGUACUAUGUUAGUGUUGUGUGAUUACCUCCCCAUUUUGCCGGAUCCAACCGGAACGCUUCCAAGGCACGCUUCUGGCAUAGUGUUUCAGCCAUGUCAAUAUACCUGAAAUAAGAAAGAUCAGAAAUCAUUGAAUUGAUUCAAUAUUUCAAUGUGACACUCCUAUAGAAGAAAGUGAAAGAGUGACAUACUCAUUUCCACCAUAGUAUCUGGCACCAGGAUAUCCCUCACUGUAUUUGUUUGUCAUGAUAGACCCUACAGCUUCCAUCACAGAGACAGAGGUGAAAUUUUCUGAGGGUAUGAGUUCCAGCCCCUUCACAAAUACAAAAACAAGAAGUCAGUCAGUCCAUAUGUGUGGUGAAAACUGAAAAGCAAAACUCUACCAUCAUCUCAUCAGUCAUCAUAUAUGAUAGUUGAUAGGCAAUCAAACAUUCAAUCCAAUAUUCCCCCUGGCUAGGAAGAAUCAUAAUAUCAUGCAGCAUAAACUCAGCACUGUCAAAUGUUUUGCAUAAACUCAGAUAGUUGGAUAAUUUUUUUCAAGAUUUUCUAUAUCCCUGGCAAAGAUGCAAGUAAUAAUAAACUAAUAUAUUACCUUCCAUUGUCUAGCUUUCUCUAGCUCAAUUAUAUCAGCAAUCUCAGGAUCAACUUCCUCAAGUGAAGCAUUCAAUUGCUUUGGCCACUGCAAAGGCAAAUCACUAUAUUACGAUAGAAGUCUGCUUUUUCUUCCUUUCUGCUUGAAAGUUGAAACAAUAUGUAUAUCUAGAUAUGCAUAAUAUUAACUGUAAUUAUAUAAUAAGCUUACCGAAACUCGGGAUUUUUCUUUGUCGUAAACAGCUUCAUCAGGUAAAGAGGACUACAUUCAAAAGCAAGGGAAAGGAAUGGCAGUAGUUAAUUGGUUAAGGUAGGGGAGCAAUAGAAGAUUAUGAAUAUGAAUAUUUGUUAUUAUAAAGAUAAUAAUAUAAUAUAAAGCAUAUAUGGUUGGAAAUUUGAUUAAUGAAGACCUUGUAGUAAACAGUGGUGCCUGCACUGAAGAGAGGACGUAAAGGCUUGUCCAUGGAAGAAGAAAGCCUGCGAAGAAGCGCCAUUGCCAUUGCCAUCUCCAAGACACAAAACACGGGGUGUGUGUGUGUGUGUGUCUGUGUGUGUUAUUGUGUAUGUUUUUUCUCUUGUAACGUAGUUUACAGGUUUUGGUUUUGUUUGUUUCUGUUGAGUUUUGAUUUUGGUGGUUGGUGGCUCUUGAUGAUCCACUCCUUAUUCCUUAGUCCCACUUCUAAGUAAGUUAUGUAUAAAUAACUAUCAAAUAUUUUUAUUUUAAUUUGAGGAGUUUGAUUGUCAUGUAUUCAUUAUUCAAUAA